Molecule: ribosomal RNA, 468 nt
Filed under: uncultured bacterium
Lineage: Bacteria
Description: partial 16S ribosomal RNA
Rfam family: Bacterial small subunit ribosomal RNA
Source: RNAcentral
GACGAACGCUGGCGGCGUGCUUAACACAUGCAAGUCGAACGGAAAGGCCCUGCUUUUGUGGGGUGCUCGAGUGGCGAACGGGUGAGUAACACGUGAGUAACCUGCCCUUGACUUUGGGAUAACUUCAGGAAACUGGGGCUAAUACCGGAUAGGAGCUCCUGCUGCAUGGUGGGGGUUGGAAAGUUUCGGCGGUUGGGGAUGGACUCGCGGCUUAUCAGCUUGUUGGUGGGGUAGUGGCUUACCAAGGCUUUGACGGGUAGCCGGCCUGAGAGGGUGACCGGACACAUUGGGACUGAGAUACGGCACAGAAUCCUACGGGAGGCAGCAGUGGGGAAUAUUGCACAAUGGGCGGAAGCCUGAGGCGGCAACGACGCGUGCGGGAAGACGGACUUCGGGUUGUAAACCGCUUUCGCCUGUGACGAAGCGUGAGUGACGGUAAUGUGUAAAGAAGCACCGGCUAACUACGUG